CUAAGAAUAUUCCGCAAUGGACGAAAGUCUGACGGAGCGACGCCGCGUGGAUGAAGAAGGCCGAAAGGUUGUAAAAUCCUUUUGCUGAGGAAGAAUAAGUGUGGGAGGGAAUGCCCGCAUGAUGACAUGAAUCGGCGAAUAGGCCCCGGCCAACUACGUACCAGCAGCCGCGGUAACCCGUAGGGGGCGAGCGUUGUUCGGAAUUACUGGGCGUAAAGGGCGUGUAGGGGGUUAGGUAAGCCGGGCGUGAAAGUCCACAGCUUAACUGUGGGAUUGCGUUGGGAACUAGAUGACUAGAGUUACGGAGAGGGAGCUAGAAUUCCUGGUGUAGGGGUGGAAUCUGUAGAGAUCAGGAAGAAUACCGAUGGCGAAGGCAAGCUCCUGGCCGAUGACUGACGCUGAGGUGCGAAAGUGUGGGGAUCAAACA
Molecule: ribosomal RNA, 427 nt
Filed under: uncultured prokaryote
Description: bacterial SSU rRNA
Rfam family: Bacterial small subunit ribosomal RNA
Source: RNAcentral